Molecule: small nuclear RNA, 107 nt
Organism: Echinops telfairi (small Madagascar hedgehog)
Lineage: Eukaryota; Metazoa; Chordata; Mammalia; Afrosoricida; Tenrecidae
Source: Ensembl
GCACUGGCUUCAGCAGCACAUAUAUUAAAAUCGGAACAGUACAAAGAAGAUUAACAUGGUUCCUGUGUAAGGAUACCUCGCAAAUUCAUGAAAGUGCCAUAUUUUUU